CUGGCGGCGUGCUUAACACAUGCAAGUCGAACGGAAAGGCCCUGCUUUUGUGGGGUGCCCGAGUGGCGAACGGGUGAGUAACACGUGAGUAACCUGCCCUUGACUUUGGGAUAACUUCAGGAAACUGGGGCUAAUACCGGAUAGGAGCUCCUGCUGCAUGGUGGGGGUUGGAAAGUUUCGGCGGUUGGGGAUGGACUCGCGGCUUAUCAGCUUGUUGGUGGGGUAGUGGCUUACCAAGGCUUUGACGGGUAGCCGGCCUGAGAGGGUGACCGGCCACAUUGGGACUGAGAUACGGCCCAGACUCCUACGGGAGGCAGCAGUGGGGAAUAUUGCACAAUGGGCGGAAGCCUGAUGCAGCAACGCCGCGUGCGGGAUGACGGCCUUCGGGUUGUAAACCGCUUUCGCCUGUGACGAAGCGUGAGUGACGGUAAUGGGUAAAGAAGCACCGGCUAACUACGUGCCAGCAGCCGCGGUGAUACGUAGGGUGCGAGCGUUGUCCGGAUUUAUUGGGCGUAAAGGGCUCGUAGGUGGUUGAUCGCGUCGGAAGUGUAAUCUUGGGGCUUAACCCUGAGCGUGCUUUCGAUACGGGUUGACUUGAGGAAGGUAGGGGAGAAUGGAAUUCCUGGUGGAGCGGUGGAAUGCGCAGAUAUCAGGAGGAACACCAGUGGCGAAGGCGGUUCUCUGGGCCUUUCCUGACGCUGAGGAGCGAAAGCGUGGGGAGCGAACAGGCUUAGAUACCCUGGUAGUCCACGCUGUAAACGGUGGGUACUAGGUGUGGGGUCCAUUCCACGGGUUCCGUGCCGUAGCUAACGCUUUAAGUACCCCGCCUGGGGAGUACGGCCGCAAGGCUAAAACUCAAAGGAAUUGACGGGGCCCCGCACAAGCGGCGGAGCAUGCGGAUUAAUUCGAUGCAACGCGUAGAACCUUACCUGGGUUUGACAUGGAUCGGGAGUGCUCAGAGAUGGGUGUGCCUCUUUUGGGGUCGGUUCACAGGUGGUGCAUGGCUGUCGUCAGCUCGUGUCGUGGGAUGUUGGGUUAAGUCCCGCAACGAGCGCAACCCUUGUUCACUGUUGCCAGCACGUUAUGGUGGGGACUCAGUGGAGACCGCCGGGGUCAACUCGGAGGAAGGUGGGGAUGACGUCAAGUCAUCAUGCCCCUUAUGUCCAGGGCUUCACGCAUGCUACAAUGGCUGGUACAGAGAGUGGCGAGCCUGUGAGGGUGAGCGAAUCUCGGAAAGCCGGUCUCAGUUCGGAUUGGGGUCUGCAACUCGACCUCAUGAAGUCGGAGUCGCUAGUAAUCGCAGAUCAGCAACGCUGCGGUGAAUACGUUCCCGGGGCUUGUACACACCGCCCGUCAAGUCAUGAAAGUUGGUAACACCCGAAGCCGGUGGCCUAACCGUUGUGGGGGAGCCGUCGAAGGUGGGACU
This 1426-nucleotide ribosomal RNA is filed under the name uncultured organism. RNAcentral describes it as "16S ribosomal RNA". It matches the Rfam family "Bacterial small subunit ribosomal RNA". The record is from RNAcentral.